This 491-nucleotide ribosomal RNA is filed under the name uncultured bacterium. RNAcentral describes it as "bacterial SSU rRNA". It matches the Rfam family "Bacterial small subunit ribosomal RNA", at positions 28 to 507 of the family's 1533-position model. The record is from RNAcentral.
GAUGAACGCUAGCUACAGGCUUAACACAUGCAAGUCGAGGGGCAUCAUGACUGAGGUUUACCUUAGUUGAUGGCGACCGGCGAAUGGGUGAGUAACACGUAUCCAACCUGCCCGUUACUGGAGGAUAGCCCUCCGAAAGGAGAAUUAAUACUCCAUGUUGUGCUGAAUUCGCAUGCUUUCGGCACUAAAGAUUCAUCGGUAACGGAUGGGGAUGCGUCCGAUUAGGUAGUAGGCGGGGUAACGGCCCACCUAGCCUUCGAUCGGUAGGGGUUCUGAGAGGAAGGUCCCCCACAUUGGAACUGAGACACGGUCCAAACUCCUACGGGAGGCAGCAGUGAGGAAUAUUGGUCAAUGGGCGCAAGCCUGAACCAGCCAAGUAGCGUGAGGGAAGACUGCCCCUACGGGUUGUAAACCUCUUUUGUUUGGGAAUAAAGUGCGGGACGUGUCCCGCAUUGCAUGUACCAUUUGAAUAAGGACCGGCUAAUUCCGUG